GAUGAACGCUGGCGGCGUGCCUAAUACAUGCAAGUCGAGCGAACAGACGAGGAGCUUGCUCCUCUGACGUUAGCGGCGGACGGGUGAGUAACACGUGUAUAACCUACCUAUAAGACUGGGAUAACUUCGGGAAACCGGAGCUAAUACCGGAUAAUAUAUUGAACCGCAUGGUUCAAUAGUGAAAGACGGUUUUGCUGUCACUUAUAGAUGGAUCCGCGCCGCAUUAGCUAGUUGGUAAGGUAACGGAUUACCAAGGCAACGAUGCGUAGCCGACCUGCGAGGGUGAUCAGCCAGCCUGGAACUGAGACCCGGUCCAGACUCCUACGGGAGGCAGCAGUAGGGAAUCGUCCGGAAUGGGCGAAAGCCUGACGGAGCAACGCCGCGUGAGUAAUGAGGGUCUUCGGAUCGUAAAACUCUGUUAUUAGGGAAGAACAAAUGUGUAAGUAACUAUGCACGUCUUGACGGUACCUAAUCAGAAAGCCACGGCUAACUACGGG
RNAcentral lists this ribosomal RNA (497 nucleotides) under uncultured bacterium. RNAcentral's name for it is "partial 16S ribosomal RNA". It matches the Rfam family "Bacterial small subunit ribosomal RNA", at positions 28 to 507 of the family's 1533-position model. The record is from RNAcentral.